UACAGAGGUGCCGAGCGUCAGGCGGAAUCACUGGGCUUAAAGCGUGUGUAGGCGGAUCGUUAAGUAUCUUGUGAAAUCCCACGGCUCAACCGUGGAACUGCUGGGUAUACUGGCGAUCUUGAGCAGCUUAGGGGCAGACGGAACAAGUGGUGGAGCGGUGAAAUGCGUAGAUAUCACUUGGAACGCCGACGGUGAAAACAGUCUGCUGGGAGCUUGCUGACGCUGAGACACGAAAGCCAGGGGAGCGAACGGG
This 253-nucleotide ribosomal RNA is filed under the name uncultured bacterium. Its description in RNAcentral is "partial 16S ribosomal RNA". It matches the Rfam family "Bacterial small subunit ribosomal RNA", at positions 524 to 776 of the family's 1533-position model. The record is from RNAcentral.